GACGAACGCUGGCGGCGUGCUUAACACAUGCAAGUCGAACGGAAAGGCCCUGCUUUUGUGGGGUGCUCGAGUGGCGAACGGGUGAGUAACACGUGAGUAACCUGCCCUUGACUUUGGGAUAACUUCAGGAAACUGGGGCUAAUACCGGCUAGGAGCUCCUGCUGCAUGGUGGGGGUUGGAAAGUUUCGGCGGUUGGGGAUGGACUCGCGGCUUAUCAGCUUGUUGGUGGGGUAGUGGCUUACCAAGGCUUUGACGGGUAGCCGGCCUGAGAGGGUGACAGGCCACGUUGGGACUGAGAUACGGCCCAGACUCCUACGGGAGGCAGCAGUGGGGAAUAUUGCACAAUGGGCGGAAGCCUGAUGCAGCAACGCCGCGUGCGGGAUGACGGCCUUCGGGUUGUAAACCGCUUUCGCCUGUGACGAAGCGUGAGUGACGGUAAUGGGUAAAGAAGCACCGGCUAACUACGUG
Molecule: ribosomal RNA, 468 nt
Filed under: uncultured bacterium
Lineage: Bacteria
Description: partial 16S ribosomal RNA
Rfam family: Bacterial small subunit ribosomal RNA
Source: RNAcentral